UACAGAGGGGGCAAGCGUUGUUCGGAUUCAUUGGGCGUAAAGGGUGUGUAGGUGGCGCCGUAAGUCGGGUGUGAAAUUUCGGAGCUUAACUCCGAAACUGCAUUCGAUACUGCGGUGCUUGAGGACUGGAGAGGAGACUGGAAUUCAUGGUGUAGCAGUGAAAUGCGUAGAGAUCAUGAGGAAGACCAGUGGCGAAGGCGGGUCUCUGGACAGUUCCUGACACUGAGACACGAAGGCCAGGGGAGCAAACGGG
RNAcentral lists this ribosomal RNA (253 nucleotides) under uncultured bacterium. RNAcentral's name for it is "partial 16S ribosomal RNA". It matches the Rfam family "Bacterial small subunit ribosomal RNA", at positions 524 to 776 of the family's 1533-position model. The record is from RNAcentral.